This 256-nucleotide ribosomal RNA is filed under the name uncultured bacterium. Its description in RNAcentral is "partial 16S ribosomal RNA". It matches the Rfam family "Bacterial small subunit ribosomal RNA", at positions 524 to 776 of the family's 1533-position model. The record is from RNAcentral.
GACGUAGGAGGCGAGCGUUUAUCCGGAUUUAUUGGGCGUAAAGGGCUCGUAGGCGGCUCAGUAAGUCGGGUGUGAAACCUCCAGGCUCAACCUGGAGACGCCACUCGAUACUGCUGUGGCUAGAGUCCGGUAGGGGAGCAUGGAAUUCCUGGUGUAGCGGUGAAAUGCGCAGAGUAUCAGGAGGAACACCGGUGGCGAAGGCGGGUCUCUGGGCCGAUACUGACGCUGAGGAGCGAAAGCGUGGGGAGCGAACAGG